This 83-nucleotide transfer RNA is filed under the name Hypsibius exemplaris. RNAcentral describes it as "tRNA-Leu". It matches the Rfam family "tRNA". Rfam says of the family: Transfer RNA (tRNA) molecules are approximately 80 nucleotides in length. Their secondary structure includes four short double-helical elements and three loops (D, anti-codon, and T loops). The record is from RNAcentral. Lineage: Eukaryota; Metazoa; Tardigrada; Eutardigrada; Parachela; Hypsibiidae.
GAUGUCGUGGCCAGUGGUCUAAGGCGCUGGAUUAAGGUUCUCCAGUCUGUUCGCAGGCGUGGGUUCAAAUCCCACCGACAUCA